UACUGGAUUUCGCAGAUUUGGACAGCCUAUGAAAGUUAAUUGGGCGUAUGCAACUGGUCAGAGGGAAGAUACAUCAAGCCAUUUCAACAUUUUUGUUGGAGAUCUCAGUCCAGAGGUUACUGAUGCAGCAUUGUUUGAUAGCUUUGCUGCCUUCAAUAGCUGCUCGUAAGUGCUUGGUUAUA
Camelina sativa (false flax) is the source of this 182-nucleotide non-coding RNA. NCBI's taxonomy places the organism in Eukaryota, Viridiplantae, Streptophyta, Magnoliopsida, Brassicales, Brassicaceae. The record is from RefSeq and is a predicted model, not a curated record.